UGGGGAAUAUUGGACAAUGGGGGCAACCCUGAUCCAGCGAUGCCGCGUGGGUGAAGAAGGCCUUCGGGUUGUAAAGCCCUUUAGGCCGGGAAGAAGGUUAUGUGGAGAUAAUCCAUGUAAUUUGACGGUACCGGCAGAAUAAGCACCGGCAAACUCUGUGCCAGCAGCCGCGGUAAUACAGAGGGUGCGAGCGUUAAUCGGAGUUACUGGGCGUAAAGGGCGCGUAGGCGGUAGGAUGUGAGUGGUGUGAAAGCCCUGGGCUUAACCUAGGAAGCGCACCGCAGACUAUCCUACUGGAGUAGAUGAGAGGGUGAUGGAAUUUCCGGUGUAGCGGUGAAAUGCGUAGAGAUCGGAAGGAACGUCGAUGGCGAAGGCAGUCACCUGGCAUCAUACUGACGCUGAGGCGCGAAAGCGUGGGGAUCGAACA
RNAcentral lists this ribosomal RNA (427 nucleotides) under uncultured Aquicella sp. RNAcentral describes it as "bacterial SSU rRNA". It matches the Rfam family "Bacterial small subunit ribosomal RNA", at positions 355 to 774 of the family's 1533-position model. Lineage: Bacteria; Pseudomonadati; Pseudomonadota; Gammaproteobacteria; Legionellales; Coxiellaceae. The record is from RNAcentral.